UCCUGGCAACAAUACUGGCUUCGUAAUCUGAUUUUUUCUCAGGAGCAAGAAGCAUGGGGCUGUCUUUGAUACACUUGGCGACUCCAAGCAGAAGCUGCAUUAUUUCUCGGGGUGGCAGAUUAGAGCAGAGGGGGAUUUGUGGCAGAAGUGGUGGUUACCAACUGAAGACUGCAUGUGCGCAAAUAUUGUUCCCUACAAUCUUUGGAGGGGGAUAAAAUUCUGGUUGUACUUGCACCCGAAGGUUUGUCCAAAAAGCAAAGAGGGUUGUGCAGUUUUUACUUCUGUAUCCUCCUAUUGUGUUUGAGCCCAUAAGCAUGUUGGUUUUAGCAUGACUUUUUGAGCCAAAAUAACACUGGAAAGUUACUUUGGCAAGUAUUUGGCAUCCCAGCUGCACAGCUAUGCCUCUUUGGUAUCCAGGAGCAUGAAAAUAUAAUGCAAGAUGCACUUGAUCGUACAGCUGAUCUCAAAUCCAUAUCUAUUUUCCAUUUUUGAGCAAUAUUGUUUCAAAUGUUUGCCUUGAUUUAGUCAUUUAUGUUUGGUAGUUUAGAUUACCUUUCACUUGCUGCAAUCGAUCCUCUGGAGAGUUGUAAAUUCUUGCUAGGUCCGCAAAGCAUUCUUUUGUCAACUAAGCUCAACUGAUGUGGUUAAUCCUACUUAUGAUACAGAUACACCAUAUUUUUAGAUUGGUGAUCUUUUGAUUUUGUGAUUGCUUGUCGCUGAAAGAACAAGUAUUUUUAUAUGGCUUUCCAGUGGAACGAAGAGAACUGAUGAUUGGUGUUGAUAGCUCUGAUAGCAUUGUCCCUAUUCUGAACCUAGAAAUUAGUAUUAGUUUAAGAGGUCAAUAGCUAUAAAUCACCGUGUCAGCAUACAUCUUGAGCCUUGUUAUUAUUGCAUUUAGCUGGUAUGCUUGUUUCAUGCGGCUACGCUAUUAAAGCCGAUAUGUUUGUUUUCUUUGAGCAAAGCUACCUUUCUUUUGGAAACUGUAUCAUGGUCACCCUGUAUUCCAAUUGGGGAAUCUUUGUGCAGCCUGCCGAUCAGUACAAAGCAUCACACAGCCCCAACAACAACUCAUCCUUCUACGAUUCUGGGAUGUCCCGGGAUGAUGGGUCAUAACUGGAAAUCAAAUGUGAGGUGUGUGUGCCCUGUACUUCUUGGUAUUAUGAUCAAAUUUGAGGUGUGUGCCCUGUACUUCAAGACAUUAUGACCAAAUAAUUGGAAGGCCGUGGUGAUUAUUAUUAGAAAGCAUGUAUAAUUAGGCACUAUUCCAUGCCAUGUAUGAUUUUUAAUUUGCAUCGUAUGAUAAGAUGCUUGAUUCUUAUGCUGUUGAGAAAACAUGAUUUGCUUUAACCUUAUUUUGAACUAUCAAUCAAAUGUCGUGAUGCAUUUAUAGGUAGCAAUUUAUUAUGGAAAUGUGCUUCUCUCUUCACUUGAAGAAGUCAUCAGGUUUCAAUUACUGAGAUUGGGAUCUGUGAGGAAUGCCUAAACUUGGUAGUCAUAUAAACUUGAUUGAGCUUUUUCUAAAAAUAUAGAUUUGGUUGUCAUUUUAAAAUCAUGGCCCACUUUUCCUGUAGCUUUUCAUGCCCAAAGUGAGUAGUAAAUUUGAUGAGACCGUGUAGAUGUUUUGAAAAGAAGUCAGCAUUAUACAUUCUCCUCUUGCCUUUUAUUUCUGAAUCUAAUGUUUGUUUCAUGUGAAUUGUACAUGCAUGGCUAAAUUUAUUUAGUGCAUUUGUGCAAACACCCCUGAUGAUGCGUUGAGAUCUUUUUUCCAGUCAUUGCUCAGAUUACUAAUGUGGGCUCUAACUAUGCA
Panicum virgatum (switchgrass) is the source of this 1807-nucleotide long non-coding RNA. RefSeq lists it as uncharacterized. The record is from RefSeq and is a predicted model, not a curated record. Lineage: Eukaryota; Viridiplantae; Streptophyta; Magnoliopsida; Poales; Poaceae. The transcript is spliced from 3 exons.